GCGCUAAUAGAUGAGCCCAAACCGGAUUAGCUAGUUGGUGAGGUAAUGGCUCACCAAGGCGACGAUCCGUAGCUGGUCUGAGAGGACGACCAGCCACACUGGGACUGAGACACGGCCCAG
RNAcentral lists this ribosomal RNA (120 nucleotides) under uncultured bacterium. RNAcentral describes it as "partial 16S ribosomal RNA". It matches the Rfam family "Bacterial small subunit ribosomal RNA", at positions 215 to 334 of the family's 1533-position model. The record is from RNAcentral.